ACAGGCCUUUUUUUGUGUCACAAAAAGCUUUAAUUGCUAAUUUGUCCUUAUUGAUUGCAAGUUAAAAAGAUUUCCUUGCGAGUCAGAAUGUUUUGCAGGUUCAACCGUUUUGCAAGUGAGAGAGUUUUGCAAGUUGAAAAGUUUUGCGAGUAAAAAAAAGGUCUAAAUAAGAGAAUCUAGUGGUGGUUUGACUGACCAAACCUUUGGUUUGCAUCGAUCGCAUGGCCACGCCUACAAUCCCCUUGCUCCGACAGCUCCGACUUUCUUUUUAAAUGUAGUAUGGCAUGAUUUAAUGAUUAUUUAUAUUUACUGUUGGCAAGGUCACGGAGUCUAUCGCUGUCUCCUUUUUUAGAAUGACAUGUAUAACCGUUCGCUAACGUUAGCCGUCUUGGCAUGAAGCUUGACUGGCAGUGCAUUUGUGCACUCAGACAUGACGAGUUGCAGUGAGGAUCAUUGGUGACAGCUAUGUCCAGCAUGGUGGCCAGAGAGCAUAGGAAACAUCUUCACCCUGCUGGACGUCUCUUGGUCUGGCUGGCUUCCCCCCUCCCUGUGAAGAAGUGCAGCACUGGAUGUCCUUAUCAUCAUCUGUGGCGGCAACAGCAUGUAAGGACAUGUGACGGCCCGUGCUUAGUCUACUUCUACCUGAUAUGGAGCGCCUGGGCCCAGUGCGCUACAGGAUAUAAAAGUCCAACCUUCCAUUGUGGCUGGCUCUCUUCCAGAUAGCACCUUCACCUUACUGCUUUGCUGAACCAUUGUUUUUAUUUUUACUCCAAACCUAAUCCCACAGUAUAUGAACACUACUUAUUUACCACUGUUACUAUCCAGGUUCCAUUAUCAUAAUUACUGUUACAACUUUUACACAUUUUCAUUUAUUUGUCUUAACUGUACAUUAUUUCAAGUCAUACACAACAACAAUUUUAUCCUUUUUACUGCUGUCUUCAUGAAUGCAGGAUAUGAUUUUAAUUUGUUUAACUGUUUCUUGUGUAGUGUAAACAUUUGUUAAAUAAAAUCAGGCAAGACUAAUCAUCAGUUCCAUCCAUCCAUCGUCAACCGUUUAUCCUGUAUACAGGGUCGCGGGACUAAUCAUCAGUUCCCUAUGUUAAUUUGAAACAUAGUAGUGAUCUAAACCCUUCACAAAAUAUGAUAGUUAAUAGUUGUAAAUGAAAAUAAUGAGAUGGUAUUUAUAGGUUAACAUGUUGAAUCUCUUUUUGCAGAAAGUAAAAACUGGAAAGCAAGAGACCAGUGUGAAAUCCACUUAGAAGUUAUACUCAAAGAAAUAGCUGCACAAUGAAUAGUUUUGAAGCUCCCUAGGAGGUGUCAUUUAUUGCGACCUCUGAGAAGUCUUGUAGAUAUUGCACAGGUAUUGUGAGGCUUUACUUGUUUAGUGAGGCAAAAGGAAAAAAAACUAAAUCAGCUGAUAGAAAGCACCUAUUAAUCAGAGGUGCAUAUCAGCAGAUUGUUUGUCUUUGUCUCACUGUAAAAGCUUCACGAUACCUGUGUAUAUGCCUGAGAAGGCCUCAGUUUGAAACAUUGUAAUAAAUGAUACUGCCUUGUGGGAUUCAUAAUUACUUAGUGUGCAGGUCAUUCUUAUUUUUUUCACUCUAAGCCCUUUUAUUCAGCACUAUGUGAGCAUAGUUUGUUGGAUGUGCACGUUUUUUGUGUUUGAACUAGACAGUACACUUACAGUAUAUCACAAUGAGAAAUCUAACAUUUCCAGUCAGUAUUAAAGACAAAAGGAGUGCAAAUAUAAAUGAAAUUUAUUGCAAUGUAAACCAUAUUUUUUUAAAUGUUUGCAAAUGUGGACAUGUAGUAAACACAUUUAUUCAGAUAAAUAGACUGGGCCUGUACACUGUACAAGUGGUAACGGCUACUGUAUGUCCGGCAUAGAUACAGAGUGUUGUUUUUUUUUAACAACUAUUGUGAACAUAAACAACAUUAACCAUGACUGUCAGCUAUGUUUAGGUGCAGGAAAAUGGGUCCUAAAAGCCAAAUUCAAAAGCAGUAACACUACCAACUGAAAGCAGUUCACUGCAUUUGGAGGUGGUCUUUGAUGCAAUUAGCUACUGUACUUGAAAACAUAAUCUGCCCUAGUUGUGAAAUAAAAUCCAUUUUUCAAAUA
Micropterus salmoides (largemouth bass) is the source of this 2119-nucleotide long non-coding RNA. RefSeq lists it as uncharacterized. The transcript is spliced from 3 exons. Lineage: Eukaryota; Metazoa; Chordata; Actinopteri; Centrarchiformes; Centrarchidae. The record is from RefSeq and is a predicted model, not a curated record.